UAGUGGCGAACGGGUGAGUAACACGUGGGCAAUCUGCCCUUCACUCUGGGACAAGCCCUGGAAACGGGGUCUAAUACCGGAUAAUACCUGCCCGGGCAUCUGGGUGGGUUAAAAGCUCCGGCGGUGAAGGAUGAGCCCGCGGCCUAUCAGCUUGUUGGUGAGGUAGUGGCUCACCAAGGCGACGACGGGUAGCCGGCCUGAGAGGGCGACCGGCCACACUGGGACUGAGACACGGCCCAGACUCCUACGGGAGGCAGCAGUGGGGAAUAUUGCACAAUGGGCGAAAGCCUGAUGCAGCGACGCCGCGUGAGGGAUGACGGCCUUCGGGUUGUAAACCUCUUUCAGCAGGGAAGAAGCGAGAGUGACGGUACCUGCAGAAGAAGCGCCGGCUAACUACGUGCCAGCAGCCGCGGUAAUACGUAGGGCGCAAGCGUUGUCCGGAAUUAUUGGGCGUAAAGAGCUCGUAGGCGGCUUGUCACGUCGGGUGUGAAAGCCCGGGGCUUAACCCCGGGUCUGCAUUCGAUACGGGCUAGCUAGAGUGUGGUAGGGGAGAUCGGAAUUCCU
This 564-nucleotide ribosomal RNA is filed under the name Streptomyces sp. 331A08. Its description in RNAcentral is "bacterial SSU rRNA". It matches the Rfam family "Bacterial small subunit ribosomal RNA", at positions 93 to 671 of the family's 1533-position model. Lineage: Bacteria; Bacillati; Actinomycetota; Actinomycetes; Kitasatosporales; Streptomycetaceae. RNAcentral also lists the same sequence under 1 other name. The record is from RNAcentral.